GGCAUGGUAUCGAGCAAGGGUGAAAACACUCACCUGCCUGGGAAGCAGAUUCCUUCACUGGACUGACAGUAAACCUGCACCAGCUGCACAAUGAAGGGAUGGAGAAGAGAUGAGUGGAGGACAAACUUUAUUCGAAGUACUGUUGCUAACAGUGUUCAAUGCAACUUGUAUUUAGAAGGAAAUCGUCCUGCAGAAUCCCGGGGUUGUACUGUUGCCCAAAGACAGCUUUGGCAAGAGGGCAGCUGCUAAGUUGGGCUUCAAGCUGAAGAUCAAUAACAUUCACUGACAGGCUGAACCGGCAAACUGACGACAGCGGACUUCCUUAAGAAGUCACGGAGCAACAGAAGGAAGAUUGUUCUGGAGUGGGUCUCGCAAAUGGCCACUGAUGCGUCAUUCAGAAUGGUGUAAAAUGGCCACCUGUGCAUAACUGCAGGCUCCUCCUCGCUACUCAGUGGUUGCUGCAGCUACAUCGUGGGAAAAAAGCUGGCUGGAGGAAAAAGCAGUUCCCUGCUGUCUUCUGUUCCGGAAUAAAACAAGUU
Gavia stellata (red-throated loon) is the source of this 539-nucleotide long non-coding RNA. RefSeq lists it as uncharacterized. NCBI's taxonomy places the organism in Eukaryota, Metazoa, Chordata, Aves, Gaviiformes, Gaviidae. The transcript has 5 exons. The record is from RefSeq and is a predicted model, not a curated record.